UGGACGCCGCCGCCAGAAGAGAGGCGUGAGGCUGAAUGCUGUCAGCCGCGUGUUCUACA
RNAcentral lists this small RNA (59 nucleotides) under Salix viminalis (osier). Lineage: Eukaryota; Viridiplantae; Streptophyta; Magnoliopsida; Malpighiales; Salicaceae. The record is from RNAcentral.